Molecule: ribosomal RNA, 360 nt
Filed under: Triticum aestivum (bread wheat)
Lineage: Eukaryota; Viridiplantae; Streptophyta; Magnoliopsida; Poales; Poaceae
Description: partial small subunit ribosomal RNA
Source: RNAcentral
AUGAGCUGCACAAGGAUCAGUGGUGCAGUCCUCGUUUUUGCCUUGCUCUUCGCCCCGUUAUUGCUCACGCUCUGCCUUCCCCUUGCCUGCGCUCGCCAUGUGGUGGCGCUGGAGGCCAAAGAUGGCCUGAACAUUGGAGGGGGCCGGCAGCAGGUGGUUGGUGAUGACGCAGGAAAGGCUGUCCCCGUCUCGAACGCCGGCGGCUCACGGCCAGUGAGGACGGUGGAGUUGCCCGCGGCGAGGAGGCACCGGGUGGACGCGGCGGAGGAGUUGCACGACAUGCUGAGGAGGGACUACGCGUGGAGGGCGAGGCGCCGCAAGCCCAUCCACAACGACGAGCCUCGCGACGACGAGCCCUAA